AAUACAAAUGAAUGGAGGUUGGGCUACGCCCACGCUUCCGUUUCCAAUCCCUUUCAUUUACUCUAUUAUCUAUGCUUUAAUUUCUUGACAGGAGACACGCCUACUAUAGGCGGGGUUGAUCAUGAUGAUCUAUAAUGACGUGAAGAUAUGCCAUAGAUGUAUCAAUAUCUGUACAAACUAUCAUUUUAGUAUGUAUAAUGGUGCAUCCAUAUAUGUAUGUAUAUCUAUAGCAUGUAUCCAAUGGCAGAGAAAGCUGUCUAUAUAAUACUUAUAUGUUUUGGCACUGUUCACACCCCAUAGUAUCGGCCUUUAAAGAUAUGCAAUACAUAUUUUAAAGUAAUAAUAGCAUGGAACUAACCACAUUCGUUCAUGAUUAAUCUAUGAUUAUCCAAAACACAACUUGACAACAAUGAUGUAUCAUCGUUGAUUAAGUAGUAGCACAAGUUCCCAAUAUCAUGAAGUGAGGGAUUAUUGUGCAGUCGUAUACCACCACUCACUGUCUCCAAUGAUGAAAGAUCAAUACUGACUAGACUUGUGUCAGAUAUUAUAAUAGAAUGAUUAAAGUAUUCACUCAACCCCUGGCAAGAUUGAGUUGAUAAUACUUGAACGGAGUUAGUUCCCACAGCUUUCAGGUUUGAUAGGUAUGCUCCCAAUUCUCAAUGAUGUGGUAAUUAUCAUGCACCCAGCAUAUGCUCCAGCAUUACUAUAAUCAAAAAUACCACCCACACAUUCUAUAAUCAAAAGUAUAAAAAGAAUGCAUUUCAUUGUUCCACGACUUGUGGGUACAGAUGUAUAAUUUGCUGGACAACUUUCAACACAAAUUGUACCAAACUCAAAGAGCAUAUCUGCUGCUGAGACAUAGUGGUUUAGCUUCAAACUUCAGGUCAGAAUUAGACCUAUUAACAACAUUGGGAAGUUCUUGAAUGAGACAUUCUUCAAGGCAUACACCAUCAUCUAAAACAUUUUUACAAGCCUAUCAAAGUCAACAGAGAUUGCAAUAACUGAUAUCUGAUCAUAAUUACUGUGAUGCUUUUUUCCAAAGUUUAUUUAGUCAUAAAAUGUUAGGCAUCAUAAAUUCAA
Molecule: long non-coding RNA, 1080 nt
Organism: Amphimedon queenslandica
Lineage: Eukaryota; Metazoa; Porifera; Demospongiae; Haplosclerida; Niphatidae
Exons: 4
Source: RefSeq, a predicted model, not a curated record